UGCCAGCAGCCGCGGUAAUACGGAGUGUGCGAGCGUUAAUCGGAAUUACUGGGCGUAAAGCGUACGUAGGCGGAUUAGUUAGUCAGAGGUGAAAUCCCGGGGCUCAACCCCGGAACUGCCUUUGAUACUGCUAGUCUUGAGUUCGAGAGAGGUGAGUGGAAUUCCAAGUGUAGAGGUGAAAUUCGUAGAUAUUUGGAGGAACACCAGUGGCGAAGGCGGCUCACUGGCUCGAUACUGACGCUGAGGUACGAAAGUGUGGGGAGCAAACAGGAUUAGAUA
This 279-nucleotide ribosomal RNA is filed under the name uncultured bacterium. Its description in RNAcentral is "partial 16S ribosomal RNA". It matches the Rfam family "Bacterial small subunit ribosomal RNA", at positions 506 to 784 of the family's 1533-position model. The record is from RNAcentral.